Spodoptera frugiperda (fall armyworm) is the source of this 2240-nucleotide long non-coding RNA. RefSeq lists it as uncharacterized. The record is from RefSeq and is a predicted model, not a curated record. Lineage: Eukaryota; Metazoa; Arthropoda; Insecta; Lepidoptera; Noctuidae. The transcript is spliced from 6 exons.
UGACAUUGACAGAUGUUGUUUCACUGACAGCUGUCUGUUGAACUUUUUAAACAAAUUCUUGGUUAGCUGUUUUUCGAGGUUUGUUUUAAAAACAGUGUUUGUUUCGUUUCAGUAAGUGACUAUUCAAGUGAUCCCAAUAAUCUGCACAUGGGUACCACGCUGUUCUAGCUAUUCACACAUUGAAGUUGAUGAAGAGUAUAACUACUACUUGUCCAAUGCACCAGAAAGUGCAGCAAAUGAAGCAAUGGCUCAAUCAAGGAUAUGGCCCUAAUGAUGUGGAACUCAAAGACACCACAAGUUCUGAUCAAGUUUUGCAGACACCAGAGAAAUAGCAACAAUAUCAAGAAGAAAUGUCUGAAAGACGAUUGCCACAAAAUCUUUAGUUGAGGUUACAACUUCUACUGCCAAAGUUGAAAGAAGUUGCAAGAAAAUUUAAAAACUUGUUUGUGUUGUGACCAAGGUGGAGCAAUUGAAGUCCGGAUAUUGGUUAAAUAUGGUGUUUGAUGCUGUGCACUGGCUGAAAGGGUUGAGAAACAAUUUAUUAAACAAAACAAGUUUUUUAAUGGUUAAUUGUGAUAUGGGAUGAUAUGCUCACUCUUUAUAAGGCUGAUUGUACUCUGAGACACAGCAGGAUGAAUAAAGAACUACAGACAACCAUUCAAUACCAGUCAAAAUAAAAAAAAAUUAAAGAACAUGUUUGCUGCACAAGUACUCAAUGUGCAAAGAAGCCCCAUACUAAAAUAAACUGCAUAAUUUUUUUGACUCUACCAUUGGCGAUGGACAAGUAAAUUUAACAAUAAAAACUACAGGUGACACCAUGGAAUUUAUUGAUUAUUCAAUAGCGUCAAAGGAGCAAGACUAAACACCAAAAAAAGGGAAGCUGAAGCGACCGGAUACGCCGAAUUCAAAACACUUAGAAUUUUGGCGCAAUGACGCCAGCAAUUUUAAAGGUUGCUUCUUCUACCUUGACGCCAAGCUUAUUCAAAAUACUGCGUGAAACACAUUUUCGUUAGUUUAUAUGUAAUUUUUUUUUUACAUCCAUUGUGGACUUCAAUCUAGACUCGCCAAACUGUAACGUUUGUUGGCGAGUAGCGCUCAUUAAACAAUUUAAACAAAUAAAUUACACACACUUAUAACUAAGUCUGUAUGACUACAGGACAUACCGUAUUAAUCUUAAAAUUUCAACUCAAUCAAAUAAAAUAAUACUGACAUUAUUAAGUCCUUGUUAUAAAAUAAUAAAAAGAUAAAAACUGAAAACAAAGUCAAAGUCAAAGCAUUUAUUUCAAUUAAUCCUAAAUUAGGCACUUUUGAAACGUCAAAUUGAAUUGUCCGUCAGUGAAGCUAGGCGCUCGUUCCAAAAACAAUAAUAAUCUACAUCUUUAACUCUAACAACAUUUUUUUAAAUUUUGACUUUAGAGAUCCUUUAUAAUCCUAAAUUAGGCACUUUUGAAACGUCAAAUUGAAUUGUCCGUCAGUCUGUCCGUCAGUGUCGGCGCUAGGCUAGGCGCUCGCUCCAAAAACAAUAAUAAUCUACAUCUUUAACUCUAACAACAUUCUUUUUAAUUUUCACUUUAGAGAUCCUUUACUUUAGUGAUAGGACAUUUUCAAUAAGUAUUAUUUAUUUUAUAAUUUGUAAAUAACUUUAGCUGUUGGUGGCGUCUCUACCUAUUGGCUAUUUAAUUUAAGCUACUAAAAUAACCGUUGAAGAGGUUAAAAAUUAUAACAUUUGUGCCUUCAGACAGUAAGAGUUAGAAUAAUUAAAAAAAAAGAGUACCAUAUGAUGCAGUUCCCUCUGUAGAUGGUUGUAUUACAACUCUAUAUAGUUUUGCUUAGAGGAUAUCCAACAUGCUUUUUUUAAAAAUAUGAUUUAAAGUAUUUUAAGCUAUAAUAGGCCCUAUGCCUAUUUAAUUUGCCAAUUAUCAAUACUCACUUGAAAAUAUUUUUGGCAAGAUAAGAGAGCAAAGAUUUAUUUUAAUGUCUGUUUUGUAGAUCAAUUGACCACAGGAAUCUACAUUUUGGAACUAGCAAAUAGCUUCACUAGAGGACGGACCGACAGACAGACUUAUGUAUUUGUUUUUUUUUGUAUUGUAAUAUUUGCCUUACCGUACAAAAGUGCCUUCUCGGUCUAUUUGAAAUAAAAUUAUUUGACUUUGACUUUUAAAGCGCAUAAUGAAUAUCUACAAUACUCGUAUGUACAGGUUUUAAGGAAUGUAAAUAAAUAAUUUGAAUGUAUAUUAUUA